GCCGAAGUGGUGGAAUUUGGUAGACACGCCAUCUUGAGGGGGUGGUGGGGGUAACCCCGUGCCGGUUCGAGUCCGGCCUUCGGCACCA
Molecule: transfer RNA, 88 nt
Filed under: Thermodesulforhabdus norvegica
Lineage: Bacteria; Pseudomonadati; Thermodesulfobacteriota; Syntrophobacteria; Syntrophobacterales; Thermodesulforhabdaceae
Description: tRNA_Leu_GAG
Rfam family: tRNA
About the family: Transfer RNA (tRNA) molecules are approximately 80 nucleotides in length.
Source: RNAcentral